RNAcentral lists this long non-coding RNA (9312 nucleotides) under Malus domestica (apple). RNAcentral's name for it is "long non-coding RNA (MDOM_LNC007491)". Lineage: Eukaryota; Viridiplantae; Streptophyta; Magnoliopsida; Rosales; Rosaceae. The record is from RNAcentral.
GUGGAAGAAAUAAACUGAGGUUCAUCAAUGGUAAUGUUCCUGCUCCAGAAGCUUCAUCCUCAAAUUAUGAAGCUUUGCUAUGUAAAGAUCAACUUGUUAUGUCAUGGUUACUCAACUCCAUGGAAAGAAAAAUAGCUGAGAUCUUUACCUAUUCUGAGUCCUCUAUCUUGCUAUGGACAAUUGUGAAGGAGAUGUAUGGGAACCAAAACAAGUCCGCUCCCGUGUUUCAACUUAAAAGAGACAUCUCAUGUAUCUAGCAAGAAGGUAAGAGUUUUACUUAGCAUCUUGGAUCUCUAAAAGGUAUGUGGAAUGAACUGGAUGUUUACCGGCCACAUACUACUGACUCCACAGUUCUCCUAAAAAGGGCUAAGAAGGAUAAAAUCUUUCAACUAUUGUCUAGCCUGAGCUCAGACUAUGAAUAUGUAAGAAGUCAUAUCCUCAUGAAUCCUGAAUUGCCAACCUUCACAAGAAUUUGUGCUACCAUUCAACGAGAGGAAGUGAGAAUGAAGGUUAUGAAUGCAGGAACCAAAGUGAAUGUAAUUGAAGCUCGAGCCUACAUAACCAAUGAGAAGAUAUACAUAGGUAAAAACCCUAACUUGAAGUGUUAGCAUUGUCAUUACAAUGGCCAUGAUAAGGAGACUUGCUAGAUUUUGCAUCCAAAGUUGAAACCAGAUUUUCUGAAAAACAAGGUUCCACUUAGAAGAUAUCAACCACAACUUUCCCACCGAGCCAACAUGACUUCAUCUUCAACUAUCAACAGUCAUGAUCUUACAAGCAGUUCACAACUAAUCCUGUAGAUCUUAUAAAUAAGUUUGCAACCUUCCUACAAAAGGAAGGAGGAAGAGAAGUAGCAGAUCAAGCUGUUGAUCUUGAAGAUGGAAAUACCACUGCCUUGUUGGGCAAGUUUGCUGGUUUUUGGCUGAUGCUGAUCACAUACCAAAGCAAAACGAUCAAGGUAUUUUAAAUGCUUUCAAAACUGCUCUAAAUGUUAAUUUGUUGCAUGAUUUUUGGAUUGUUGAUUCUGGAACCACAUAUCACAUGACUAACAAAGUGUCAAAACUAAAAGGGUUUGAAAAAUUGAAGGAACCAUCACAAGUGUCAGUUGCAAAUGGUGAAGGAGCUAAGGUUGUAGGAAAGGGAAUAGUUCAUCUGAUUUCAAAUACAAUUGAGUCAAUGGCUUUGUAUGUACCUUCAUUUCCUUUCCAGCUCUUAUUGUUGGAAAUGUGCCCUAAAACAAUCAUAUGAUGAUACUUUACGGACAUUUCGCAUGUUAAACUAAUCUAGUUUAACUAUAAAGGGCAAAGAUUAUUGUUUGAGCCGUCUCAUAUAAAUGUUAUAUGCUUAAACGAUAAAGUCCAAGGAAUAUGUGAUUGGGAGAAUGCGAUCUAAUGAAGUUAGAUUCAUGAGACCAUUCUUUCGUAGACACAUCCUAAAUGUUCCUGAUCAUAGGAUUGCCAAUUGGGCAUUGACAGUCCGUUAAGAUCAGUACGUACUGUGUCUUCUCUCAAGGAGAGUGACUAGUCUCGAGUCAUUGGUGUGUGUGACAUCAAGACAAGUACGUAGGUGCUCAAUAGAGAAUAAGUUCACUGAACACGAUCAACGAAGACUUCUCAUAUUCAUGUCACAUGAGAACUCAUGGUUGGGAUAAUGCAAAGUAGUCAUUUGACCUGAGGCAUCGUCGUUGUCUUGUGGUUAAGUCCUUGAUCUUUGAUUAUGUCAAACAUCAUUCCAUUGGAGUGUCCACGGCAUCGUUGGGGUUAAGCCACUUAGCCAUGGAGGCAAGUGAAUGCGCAACAAGGGAUCUCUAACCUUCAAACUGUUUGAGGGAGAAUACUCUAUGAUAUGAUUAGAAUCUCUGGCCAGAGUAUGAAUGAGAUUUAGGAAUGCGUUCCAAAUCACAUUCAAGGUAAUCAUAUAAGCACACGAAUCACAUUGGAUAGUAGACAUGAAUAAAUAAACUAUCAAACCAAACAAUGUGGUCAAGAGUAUUGUAUUAGAGAAAGACCGUAUUGCAUUUGUAAUCCUAAACUGAAUAGGUUCUCCACCUCUUCUGAUUAGCUUGGGUAACCAUGAUAUGCUGCUAGGUGUCACUCUUGGUUUGUGGAAGCCCUAAACGUGUAUAAUCACUAAAGGGAGAAUUGAAAGUAAGUUUCAAUUCACAAUCGAUUUGAAAGAGUUUGAAUCGCCCACUGCCUCGCUAAAAGGAACCUAAUGGAUCGUACACCGUGUAAGGUGGAGAUUGAAGAAACAAUGGAGAUGAGUAAGCAUAAUUAAAUGGUUUAAUUAUUUAUGGCAAGGAUUAAUUAAUAUGUUAAUUAAUCAAAUGAAUAAGUUCGUUAAAGACCUCGGGAUAGUGGACGUUUAGGCCCAAUGGGCUUCGAACGUCAAGCCCAUUGACUUAAGUUGUAUGACAACUUAAUUCACAAAAGCCCAAAAGCCCAAACAACACCCUAAGGCCGGCCAUAUGGUUAAGGGUAGUGAACUUGGACUUAUUUACAAGUUUGCCACUCAAAUGAAUAAAGGUGUAAAUAUGACUUUAUAGCCAAAAUUCAUUAAAGGUUUGUUUUGGAGAAAAUUGGAGAGAACAUGUCUCUCCAUUUCUCUCUAAAGAGGCCGGCCCCUUGGAGGGUGCAUCUAGCAAUCCCACUACUCCAAGGUCACUCAUUUCUUCUCCAAUCUAACCUUGGUGAAGAUACUUAGAGGUUCUCUAUUUUGGGAACUUGGAGAAUCCUAUUCUUCCAUCCAAAUCCAUAGAUUUAAUAUGCAAGGAAUGAAGGCCCUCUCUUUGGGUGAUUAGCCUUUGCUUAUGCAAAGAGGAAUCUACAAAGGUAUAAAUUUCAACUCACUUUGUUUUGAGUUGAUUCAUGGUUCACCAAUCUACUAGGCUUUGAAUUUCAUGGUUAAUGUUUUGUUUUAAGUGCAUGCAAGCAUGAUUCCGCCUUUAAUUGUUAAUUGCAUGCUUAUUGAUGUUGCUUAAAUGAACAUGUUUUCACAAAAUCUUCCUUCAAGUGGUAUCAGAGCCUAGGUCUAGUAGUUGGUGAAUCCUUUUGGGUUUUGUAGUUCAUAGUUUGUGAUUUAAAAGUUGUAAUAUGUUACAAGCUUUAUUCUUGUUUCUUUGAAUGUAAAUUUUGUUAGAAAAUUUGUCAUCUCAAAUGUUGUAGAUGUAGUUCAUAUGAGCAUGAAUAUUGGAGCUAAAAUUUGGCGCCAUGACUUUGGGGAUUUUCGGCCAAAUCCAAAGGGUGGAUUUUUGGGUUCUUGUUUGACUUGUUAAAAGUGUUUUCAAGUGACUUUUGGAACCCCUAUGUACCCUAGUUUGGUUAGAUGUUAUUUCCCUAAAGUUUGAAUGGUUUUGGAAUGUUUUUUGGGUGAAAAAAUGUUCAUGGAAAAUUUUGAGUUUUUUCAUGAGUGUUCUUCAUUGUUCUUGACAUUUUUUUGCCAAGAACAAAAAGGUUUGUGUUUUGAUUCAAAGUUUUGAUUUAUUUCAUAAAGUCUUUGUUUUGUGCUUUAUCAAAUGUUUUAAUGUGAUAGAAAUUGUGUAAGGUGAUGGAAAUGGUGAUAGGUGUGUAAGAAGUACUUCUCUUACACACACACCACUUGCAUGAAUUUAAGUCACAUACCACUUGCAUGAAUUUAUGUCACAAAUUCCACUUGCAAGGCUUUAUGAAAUUGUUGAAAAAAUUUCCAAAUUUUUGUGGACUUAUCUCCACUCCCUUUCCCUCUCUAAAAACCGGCCCUCCCUCAAUGGGAGUACUUUUGGGUCUUUUAUGCAAUUACAUAAAGUUUUGAUACUUUUGUGUAUUUGCACUUUGGCCCAAAAGUUUACGUUUUUACGUUUAGGUCCAAAAACGCUAAAGGACAAAUUGUUUUGCUCCUUUAAUGAAGUUUUUGCAUUGAUUAAAUUUUGGGUUCUAGUGUAAUUACAUGAAGUAGUGGACUUUUGUGUCUUUACAAAGUGACCCCAAAAGUUUUGCAAUAUAGCCCAAAAGUUGAGGUUAAUUGCUUUAUGGCCCAAAAAGUUGUGGUUAUUGCAUAUUGGCCCAAAUUAAGUAGAGAACAAAAUUGUUUUGUCUCUUUAAAUGAGAAUUGGAUUUUCAUUUUGUUUAGCUCCAUUUAAAUCAAUUUUAUGGAUACAAAGACCAAAUGAAAAUGUUGCAUUCUAUUUAAUUGGUUAAAGCGUUAAUUGAUUAAAGAAAGGGUGAUUAUGAACCUAAGCCUAAUAUAAUUGAGCUAUGUGAAAGGCCGUUUCAAAUUUUUUUGAACCAUGGGAAUGUGUAGAUUAGAUUUUGGUUGUAAUUUGAUUUGAUCAAAUGUUGUAAAAGGGCAUAAGCCCUUCUUUACUUUAAGGUAAUUUGUUUUAUGCAAAUGUUGUAAUGAGCAUAAGCUCACCUUUACUUUGAAGUACUUCUUUCUUGCUUUAUAUGAUAUGCAUGAAAAUGAAGUAGUUGGGUCCGACGCCCCUAAGACAACACGCCUUAAUAUGAUUAAACGCGUAACUAAAAUCAAUCUCCAUCCCUAGACCGAGAUUCAACACAAGGCUCGUGUUGAAUCUAUACAAAGGUUCAUAGCAACUAUAUAGUCCAUCAAAUGAAUGCAAAGGUUAUGUUAGUAGUAUCAUAUACUCUUGCUUUAAAAACGUUUUAUAAGCAUAGUGGGAGUAUUAUAUACAACUAAAAACAAUCAUAUGGACCAAUAGUUGUAAUAGGACCAAAAUUGUUUUAAUAGAGAUUAAAAUGAAUGUUUAUAUGUGAUGAGACCUAAAACCCUCAACCAAACCAUUAUUAAGUUGAUAAGCGUGAGAGUGCUUUGAACACUCUUUCGUGGCCUUCCACCGUGGUAGGCUCCAAUCGUAUGUGACUCGUACACCGGCUUCACCCUAUAAUGGGGGAGUACAAAGUGCGUGCUUACACUCAGGAGGAGUUCUAUAUACAUACAUGAUGAAGUGAGGUAGGCAACGAGUUUAGCCAACAUGAUAUAAUUCUGAGGCUAUGCUUGAACCCCUACACGAACUAGGCAUGGUGGGAAUGACUUAACUAAGUGCAAUGACGCCAACAUGAUAUAAUUCUGAGGCAUCAUUCUCUAGAGGCCAAAUUAGAUGGGUACUUGCAAGAGAUGCAAAUGAGUAAGCGUACUCUCUCAUUAUUAUUAACGCUAGCCAACAUGAUAUAAUUCUGAGGUGGGCUUGGUAAUAGUGAGCCUCCCAUAACCUACUAAGAGUUUCAUCCAAAACUCUCGAAUUCCAAUGAGGGAUAUGGAAUUUGCCUAAAAAUAGUGGGUGGUGCUAUUUUGAUUUAAAAACCCGAAUCAAAUGGCUUAAAAUCAAUCAAUUUAUAUUCGUUAUGUAUUUGUUUACCAAUAUAUUUGCAAACGCUAUCCAACACUUGACAAAUAAAAGCCGAAAGCUUUAGUUUCCGGACUUGGUACUACAAAACCAUAGAUUGUCUUCAAUGGCUUGUAAAUGUACCUAAGUAGUCUCUUCCUCACAAUCUUCCUAUUGAUAAUGUAUCAUUAGAAGAAUAUGUUAGAAAAAGUCUAUCAUAAAGAGGACAACACUUUUAAUGUCAUAAUUCUUCAAAUACAAUUUGUUGUAUGAAGAAAUAGGAGUUGCUUUGAACAACUCUUAGUCAAUGCAAACACUUAGUGCUUGUUUCUUUGUUAUAUGAACAAAGAACUUGAGAAGAAAGCACAAAGGCAUGGACACUUAAUGUGCCAUGAUUCUUCACUUACAAAUUGUUGUAUGAAGAAAUGAGAGUUGCCUUGAACAACUCUUGAAAGUUUGUAAUUAUGUUUAGAACAUAAUGGUUGGUUGACAAAAAUAGUCCAUCAACAUGGACUUAUGAUGAUUUUGAAUCAUUGAGUGUUGAAGUGAUAAAUCACUUAACGAGACGGAAACUAGGCAAGGACUUCACCUAUGUGCCCUAUCCUUAAUGGUUCACUAAGUUUAUUGUAAACUAUGUAGUGAACAAUAACCACAUGCUCUCCAAAUUGUUUGAUGUGUAUAACACAAUUGAAAUAAGUUUCAAGAGAGAUAGUGGGAGUUUAGGGACCAUGACUAUUGUAGUCAAAGGAGAAGUCAAAUGAAGAAGAUAAAAUUAACUCCAAGGGAACAAACUUUCUUUAUGAAAGGAUGGACAUUGGAAGGGGUAUUUGCAAGAAAUGUCUUGCAAGUGUCAAGAACACACCUUUUCGAAGGUGUUGUAAAUUGUUCUUGAAUAGUUCAAAACAGUUGGUUCUUCUACUUGAAUGCUUGAUUCCGUAUUAGUAACUAUGUUUUACAAUCGUUGUAAAAGUGUGACUAAUAAGAAGUAGAAGAUAUAUGAGAGAAGAAAAGGUGCUUCACAUUCGGAACGUGAAUAAAAAUAUAGAUCUCUGCGAAAGCAGAUAGUACUUACUUCCUCAUAUGAACUACCAAAGAAAUUGGAAAAAACCAAAGAUUGUCUUUACAUUCCAAUUUUAAGGAAUUUAAUUCCGUCACUAUAGUAGAGAUGGAUGAAUGUUUUGUUUGACAAAACACAUUGUUCUUUAUUAAUCAAUGAUUGGAUUAUAGUAAUCUAAUUGAUUGUCUCUAUAGUAGAGAUAAUAUGGUAGUGUUAACUGUUUAGAAUAUAAUGAUGCUUAAAACCCAAAAGGUUGCAAGGUAGUGACUAAUCCCAACUAAGUUGUGAUUCCUCUAAAAACAUAAGUUAUGAGUUGGUGAAAGAUGGAUACUUUGGAUCGUUAGAUCCGGAUCCAAUACCUUCUUGUUAAAAUUGUAUAGAGGCGAAAUGUUCGAAUCUUUAUUCUUUUGGAAAGAAGAAAGAAUCACAAAGUUGUUGAGGUUAAUUCACUUAGAUGUUAGUGGCACUUGUCCACAAACAUAAUACUACUCAUGUUGUAUGACAUUCACCGAAGAUCACUCUCGGUUGGACUAUAGUUUAUUUUGAAUAAACACAAGUCCGAAUACUUUGCAAAAUGUUUCAAAGAAUUCAAGUAAUGUAAGUUGAUGAGUAAGACGUCUAAAGUAUUUACCUCCUUAGAUUUGAUCCAAGAAAGGUAACACUUUAGAAACAGUUUCCUUGAAAGAUAUCAAGGAAAUAAGCAUCAUAAGAUAAUAGAUUUCUCCAUAAGGAGAAGAACGAACUUAAAUAAGAUUUAGUUCGUUGGAUAUUAUCAAUUACCCAUAUAUAGGAUAUAUACUUCUAAAACAAUAUGAUUGUCAAUUAGAAGAUCUUCCAAAAUUUUCAUGACUCCAUAAGAUGUAGUUGGAAAGAAAGACAAAUCUUAAGCAUGUUAAGAUUUGGGGUUGUGUGCUAAUAAGCAAUAUUUGUUUGAUAACAAUCUUGUGGGAUAUCCUUAAAUUAACUUUUGGAUAUCGCUUCUAUAAACCAACUAACAAAUGUUGUUUUGUUGGGUAGUUCAUUGUAAUCCUACAAUGUGAUUUGCCUAAAAGCAAAUAAACGAGAGAUAGAACUCAAAGAAUGGGUUCUUUGAGAGACAAGAAAGUAAUCAACAAAUAUAAACAACCUAGUUCCUAUACCAAAAGCUCCAAGGUAGUCAAGAAGGAUUUAUAAACCGUCUCAGUUGAAUGGUUUGAACUUUAUGACUAUGUCAUAGAGUUACACCUCUUAAUUCGAAAGAAAUAAGAAUGAAAAUCCUUAUGACUACAUUGAGUGCAUAUACGAUAUAUACUCAAGGAAAUGGUAAAGUACCAUUUAACCCGAAAUAAUGAAACCUUCAUAAGCUAAUUGGUAGCUUAAGGUGACUACAAUCAAAGAGAAUGGUUGACUUUGAAGGAACCAUUUUUGACGUAGUCUUAGUUUCAAUUAAAUUCGAAGAUUGCUAGCUACAACUAAAUGGUGAUUCAAUGUUUGGACAUAAUAUAGGUUUCCGAAACCAUUAUUAAGAUAGUCUUGAUAAUAUAUGUCUAAAACUAUGAAUCACAAGACAUGUAAGUUGUAGAGAUCCAUCCAUCAUGGAUCUUAGCAAGCUAGUGGGAGCUAUAAGCGUCUUAUGAGAGAAAGGUCAAAUCGUUUGAUUUCUCAUAAAGAUGUAAAUGAAUCUUUUGUUUACUAGGUUUACAAAAGAUUAGAGGGAGUUAAUCAUAUUCCUAAAUUUGUAUAUAUAUAAAUAAAUAUAUAUAUGUGAUAUAUAUAUGAAUAUAUAUAUGAUAUAUUAAUUUUGGAAAUGAAAAGAAUAUUUCUUCGUUAAAGUUAUGACUUUAAGCAUUCUAUAACGAUAGAAUGUAUAUGGGAGACAUAGUCUAUAUACAUGGGAUGGAAAUCUAUAUUGAUAUAGAUUUCAAGAUAUAAUUUGGAUUAUAUCAAUCCCUAAAUAAUAGACAAAAGAUGCUAGGAAGUUUCUCAUAUGAUGAUAAACUUCAAUUAGAAGGAUGACUCUAGUGUGACUAGCAAGUUGCCCUUCUCAAAGGGAACGUACCCUUUUGACUCCCAAAGAAAUAAUGCGUAAAUAGAAUCCUUUAUGCAUACGCACAAAGGUGAUUUAUGUAUUUCAUAUUGUAUGAAAAACAUUGAUAUGAGUUGUACCUAGAAAGGUACAAGACGAUAUCAGUGCAAGCCCAGGAUCAGAACCAUGGCAACUGUCAAGUGAGUCCUUAAGUAUUUAAGAAAUACUAAAGGAUAGAUUCCUCAAAGAAUGAGGAAGAAUUAGAGUAACGUAAAGGAAGCGUAAAUGUAUUAGAUUAUGAAUCUAAUCCAUCAUUGGAUGUUUCUUCUUCAUUAUGAAUGAAGAGAUAAACGGAUAUCUCUUUAUUAUGACUAAAGAGAUAUUUGGAUGGAAACAUUAAAGUAAUGACUUUAGUGUGUUCCAUUAUGAAUGCAAAAUAUAUUGCCAUAUAGAAGUUUACAACAAUGUUGUUUGGAUGGGAAAGUUCAUUUAUGAACUCUCUAUUCGGUUCCAACCAGAAAGUGUAUCUAGUGUACUGACACUAUGACACUAAUGGGGCGAUAGCUCAAGCCAGGGAAUCAAGGUCUCAUCAAGAUCCGAACUCAAAUGAGAGACUGAACCACAUGAUUGAGAAUCAUGUAUAAUGGUGACGUCGUUAUUCUCAAGGUUGCUUCUAUGGAUAACAUAUAGAUAUCCAUUGUCUAGGCCUAUUAUUCAGCCAUUUAUGAAAUGACUACAGAAGAGGUAUCAUCACUGAUGACCAAGCUGAUUGGCUCUAGUGCAAGUGGGAGAUUGUUGGAAAUGUGCCCUAAAACCAAUCAUAUGAUGAUACUUUACGGACAUUUCGCAUGUCAAACUAAUCUAGUUUAACUAUAAGGGGCAAAGAUUAUUGUUUGAGCCGUCUCAUAUAAAUGUUAUAUGCUUAAACGAUAA